This 517-nucleotide ribosomal RNA is filed under the name Pimephales notatus (bluntnose minnow). RNAcentral's name for it is "partial large subunit ribosomal RNA". It matches the Rfam family "Bacterial large subunit ribosomal RNA", at positions 1927 to 2597 of the family's 2925-position model. Lineage: Eukaryota; Metazoa; Chordata; Actinopteri; Cypriniformes; Leuciscidae. The record is from RNAcentral.
ACGGCCGCGGUAUAUUGACCGUGCAAAGGUAGCGCAAUCACUUGUCUUUUAAAUAGAGACCUGUAUGAAUGGCUAGACGAGGGCUUAACUGUCUCCCCCUUCCAGUCAGUGAAAUUGAUCUAUCCGUGCAGAAGCGGGUAUAAUACUACAAGACGAGAAGACCCUUUGGAGCUUAAGGUACAAAAUUCAGCCAUGUUAAGCAACUCCAUAGAAAGCAAGAACUUUAUGGCCAUGAAACUUUACCUUCGGUUGGGGCGACCACGGAGGAAAAGCAAGCCUCCGAGUGGACUGGGCCAAACCCCUAAAGCUAAAAGAGACAUCUUUAAGCCGCAGAACAUCUGACCAACAAUGAUCCGACCAAGAGGUCGAUCAACGGACCAAGUUACCCUAGGGAUAACAGCGCAAUCCUCUCCCAGAGCCCAUAUCGACGAGGGGGUUUACGACCUCGAUGUUGGAUCAGGACAUCCUGAUGGUGCAGCCGCUAUUAAGGGUUCGUUUGUUCAACGAUUAAAGUCCU